UACGUAGGGGGCAAGCGUUAUCCGGAUUUACUGGGUGUAAAGGGAGCGUAGACGGUUAUGCAAGUCUGGAGUGAAAGGCGGGGGCUCAACCCCCGGACUGCUCUGGAAACUGUAGAACUAGAGUGCAGGAGGGGUAAGUGGAAUUCCUAGUGUAGCGGUGAAAUGCGUAGAUAUUAGGAGGAACACCGGUGGCGAAGGCGGCUUACUGGACGACCACUGACGCUGAGGCUCGAAAGCGUGGGGAGCAAACAGG
Molecule: ribosomal RNA, 253 nt
Filed under: uncultured bacterium
Lineage: Bacteria
Description: partial 16S ribosomal RNA
Rfam family: Bacterial small subunit ribosomal RNA
Source: RNAcentral